GCUACCGUAGCACAACGGUAGUGCAACGGUUUUGUAAACCGUAGGUUGUGGGUUCGAUUCCCACCGGUAGCU
Molecule: transfer RNA, 72 nt
Filed under: Zavarzinella sp.
Lineage: Bacteria; Pseudomonadati; Planctomycetota; Planctomycetia; Gemmatales; Gemmataceae
Also listed under: 2 other names
Description: tRNA-Thr
Rfam family: tRNA
About the family: Transfer RNA (tRNA) molecules are approximately 80 nucleotides in length.
Source: RNAcentral